Molecule: long non-coding RNA, 357 nt
Organism: Arachis duranensis
Lineage: Eukaryota; Viridiplantae; Streptophyta; Magnoliopsida; Fabales; Fabaceae
Exons: 3
Source: RefSeq, a predicted model, not a curated record
UGUUGGAAAAUCUCGUGGAUUCUUGGACAUCAUUAUACCUCGUGGUAGCAGAAAGUCUGACCUGGAGGCUGAUGUGAGUGCUUCUGAUAAUCAUGAUGAGCAGUCUCCACCAAAUGUAGGGAUCAUGGACCAAGAAUCCAAUGAAUUCCGCCGGUUUGAGACUCUGAGAAAGGAGUUAAUGGAACUUGAGAAACGCGUUGAAAUUAGUACAUAUCAAUAAGAAAAUAACGAGGAUUUAGUAGUCAUUGAUGAUGGUGCUCGUUAUAGUGAUGCUGCUGGAUCUUUUCAGUUGUCCAGGGUUCAGAAGAAGGAAAAUAUCAUAGAGAAAUCUUUAGGCAAAUUAAAAGAAACAGGAAC